This 373-nucleotide ribosomal RNA is filed under the name unidentified activated sludge bacterium CL03. Its description in RNAcentral is "bacterial SSU rRNA". It matches the Rfam family "Bacterial small subunit ribosomal RNA", at positions 955 to 1332 of the family's 1533-position model. The record is from RNAcentral.
UGCAACGCGAAAAACCUUACCUACCCUUGACAUGUACGGAACCCUGCUGAAAGGUGGGGGUGCUCGAAAGAGAGCCGUAACACAGGUGCUGCAUGGCUGUCGUCAGCUCGUGUCGUGAGAUGUUGGGUUAAGUCCCGCAACGAGCGCAACCCUUGUCAUUAGUUGCUACGCAAGAGCACUCUAAUGAGACUGCCGGUGACAAACCGGAGGAAGGUGGGGAUGACGUCAAGUCCUCAUGGCCCUUAUGGGUAGGGCUUCACACGUCAUACAAUGGUCGGUACAGAGGGUUGCCAAGCCGCGAGGUGGAGCCAAUCCCAGAAAGCCGAUCGUAGUCCGGAUCGCAGUCUGCAACUCGACUGCGUGAAGUCGGAAU